RNAcentral lists this transfer RNA (72 nucleotides) under Camelus bactrianus (Bactrian camel). It matches the Rfam family "tRNA". From Rfam's summary of the family: Transfer RNA (tRNA) molecules are approximately 80 nucleotides in length. Their secondary structure includes four short double-helical elements and three loops (D, anti-codon, and T loops). Lineage: Eukaryota; Metazoa; Chordata; Mammalia; Artiodactyla; Camelidae. The record is from Rfam by way of RNAcentral. RNAcentral also lists the same sequence under 2 other names.
GGGGGUGUAGCUCAGUGGCAGAGUGCAUGCUUGGCCUGCACGAGGUCCUGGGUUCAAUCCCCAGUGCCUCUG